Ictidomys tridecemlineatus (thirteen-lined ground squirrel) is the source of this 2372-nucleotide long non-coding RNA. RefSeq lists it as uncharacterized. Lineage: Eukaryota; Metazoa; Chordata; Mammalia; Rodentia; Sciuridae. The record is from RefSeq and is a predicted model, not a curated record.
CAUCCUGGGCUCAGGAAAAUCAAACUUCUAUUUUUUUCGAACCCAAUAAAGGCCAGUAUUGUAAGUCUGUGUAAACAGAGGCCAGACGGGUAGGGAGCCGGGAAGACAAGUGGUCCGCCCUCUGGCGGUCGCACGAGACAGCGUGUCCCGCGCUCCGCCGAGCUGCGACAGCAAGGCGGGGAGGAUGCGGGCUGAAAUGACGCAGAGAUCCAUUACUGCGCGCGGCAGGGGAGAGGAUGCUGCGAGGAGCUGGUGCGGGCCACAUGGCAGCCUUACCAGCUCGCCCCGACUUCACCAGCCUCUGACGGGAUCCGCGCGGGGGUGGACAUUGGGAGGAUCCAGACCAGCAGUCUGCAGCCCCUCUGCUCUCUGCAGGGCUCUAUCCCUGGGCGUGCCCCCUAAGGACUCACUCCUGCCCAUCUUACCUCGAUGACAUCCUCAGUCUUUAUGCAGAGGGGGGCAAAAAAGGCAAAUGAAUUAAAAACAGCAUGAGGGCUCCCCUGCAGAUUAGGGGCUCACAGUGGCCAGUUCCAACUAUAGACUUGAUUGCCUUUUGACAAAGAUUUCCAACCUAGCUUCCUCAAGGUACUGCAUUACUCAGUCCCUGCUCAGGCAAUUGUUGCUGUAAAUAGCUGUAGUCCCCCUCCUUCCCUGUGGAAACACGGAUGGAAAUGAAUUUGCAGCAGGGACUCUGCAUAAUACUUAAGGUCUUGGUGGGGAGAUGGAUGUGCCCUCUAUCAGCUCCUGACAUACUAGGACAUCUGGGCAUUCCCAGGCCCGUUUGCCCCAAUGAUGGAAAUCAUCUCUGAUAUAUGAAAAACGUCCACAGCUAGCAUUUGUGUUAACAUUGUUAAAUUGUUUUCAGGUUUUGAAAGAUGCUACGGAAAAAGAGGCAAAACCUGAUACAGCACCACCCCCAACACAAGAUCAAAUCGUAGUAUUUCUUUGGGAUAAAUAAGCAUUCUCUUCUUACAAAUGCAUAUGCAUAUAGCCUCUUUUGUAUUAUAGACUUACAUUCUUAAAUUGUUGCUCUCCUUUAUUUGACAACUUUCUUUAAUAAACAUCUACUAUUUUUAUAAUAGAAAAAAAUGUUAAAGACCUAAAGAAUUUGAACAUGUAGCCUAAAUGUACAUUAGAUAUAUUUUUAGAAUUAAUUUAUUAACUGCUCUAUCAUUUGACAUAAAAGGCUUUUGAACUAAAGAUAGAAACGGAAGCAUUCUUUAUUUAGAAACAAACUUUCUCCUCCUCUUCCAAUUUUUGCUGGCUUACCUCCAAAACACCCUGCAUCUGUCCCUUUCUCAGUUUCCCACUGCCUCUCACACAGUUACCAGCCGUCACACAUUAUCCUUCACCUGGAUUCUGAAAAUACCAUCUUGUCCACAUUUUCUGGCUCCACCUUCUCCCCACUGCGGUCCUCACUUGCCAUGUAGAAACCAGACUGUUCUUUUAAAAUGAAAAGUCAGAGCCUAUCUCUUCUCCUUACAUAAAACCUUCCAUGGCUUCUCACGGCAGCUCCCUUAAAAUCCCAAUUCUUCACCAUGGCAUACCAUCUGGCUCCAACUUGCCCUUGCUUCUCUCCCUGCAGAAUCAUUUUCUCACUUUUUUUUUCAUAGCACAUUUUUCACAUAACCCCUUCUUUGUGAUCCUCAAGCCCACCAGCUUGCUCACCUCCCAAUCUGAGCUCUUGCUAUUGGCUCUGUGCUAAACAUCCACUCUCAGAAAGUCUUAAAUCUGCCUCGUUCUCAUCAUUCUUGUCUCAGCUCAAAUAUGAAAGACCUUCUGCCCUUCCAAAACUUGUUGUUGCCUUAUCUUAUUGCAACACAGCAAUUAACUAGAAUUGCUUUGCUUAUCGAGGAAAAUAUCAGUGUAGGCUCUGCUUUCACACUUCAGGAUGUCAGCCCCACAAAUAGAGGUCCUUAUCUUUCUACUAUCUGUGGGUUCUAGAAUAGUGCCUGUUCAUAGUUGGUAUUCAAUAAAUAUUUAUUGAAUAAAUUAUUGAGUGUGAUUUCCUGGUAUGUAGUCUAUAAAUUCCACUAAUAGCACUCUGCAUAUUCUGCCUUGAAUUUUUAAAUUAUUUUUAUGCCCAUAUGCUUCCUCCUUUCAAGUGUGAACUCUGUGAGGCUGGAUCAUAUUUAGUUCAUAAUUUUAUUUUCCAUGGCCUUAUGGAGUCUGGCACAUUACAGGGAGUUUAAUAUAUUUGUUGGAUCAAAUUGCCAUAAAUGAAUUGAUAAUGAGGUGAUACAAUAUGACUUUCCCUCAGGUCUAACCUUUCACCUGGGAAAAUGAAAAAAAAAAUCGCAAUAUCCAAAGAGACAGAUCGUUACAUUGGUCCUAUAACAUCACACACACACACACACACACACACACACACA